UUCAAGCUUCUACGCAGGUGCUCUGGAUAAAUUUCCAAUGAACAAGGAUAUAAAUCCGCGCUUAUCUGAUUUCAAAGUGGCAAUGUUACAAAUGUCAUGACAUAACUUACUGGAGUAUAUUAGUAUUUGAAACAAAAAUCAAAUUAUAUAACUGAUGCACCAUAUAUUUGACGGCACGACAUUAUAAGUAAACACAAGUGCUUGUUCGGCGGACACACUCGCUUGUUAUUUAAAAUGAUUUCAACCAGACAAUCUUCACUGAUUUUGCUUCGUUCGACAGUAUUCUUAUAUUCUAACCGGCAGUGAGCCAGAUUCAGCUCUGGUAACCGUUUCUGGUCAUUAGAUCUUGAAAUAAAAAUAUCCUGCGUAGAUUUUCUUUUUCGACGGCGCGUUCUACCUAGAGUGAGCCCUUCUCCAUCUAUAAGUGCGGGAAUAGGUCUGAAAAAAGCCAUACACCAUCAGCACAAGAAAAAUGCUCAAAACAUAGUGAUGAACCAUGUAUUUUGAAAAAUGAUCUCGAGGGGUUUCGGGUAAUAAUUAGUCCUACCGUUAACAAUGAUUUUCUUCGGGGC
Molecule: long non-coding RNA, 572 nt
Filed under: Triticum aestivum (bread wheat)
Lineage: Eukaryota; Viridiplantae; Streptophyta; Magnoliopsida; Poales; Poaceae
Description: long non-coding RNA (TAES_LNC013681)
Source: RNAcentral